Populus nigra (black poplar) is the source of this 927-nucleotide long non-coding RNA. RefSeq lists it as uncharacterized. The transcript has 2 exons. Lineage: Eukaryota; Viridiplantae; Streptophyta; Magnoliopsida; Malpighiales; Salicaceae. The record is from RefSeq and is a predicted model, not a curated record.
CUCAAGCUCAAGCUUUUUUCGAGGGAGAUGCUUGAAGAAUGCUUGUACAGCUCCAGCAACACCAUCCUCAUUCUCCAUGUCUUUGGCAAGCUCCACCGCGCGCUCCUUCACCUGACAUGUUAAAUUCAUCGGAUCAAAAGGAGAUUGCCCAAGUUCAAACUCUCUUAAUGCUCUUCAUACAUGAUGAAGUGAACUGAGGCCCAUCAAAAGGAGUUCCCUGGAUGAGUAAAUAAAUAUAAAGAGGUCCGCACAUGCAUUUUUUCCCCUACCCAAAAUGAACUUGAGCUUAUCAAAAAGAGUUCCUUGUCAAGCUUUUCGCAAGAUUAUGAAUUCUGCCUGGCCAGAAAGGAAAAGAGGACUGUGCGUGUGGAUUGUAGAUUUUGACCUUUUUUUUUUUUCUUUUUAUCCUCGGCUAGUAUAUGUCCAGUGAUUUGACAUUACCUUGGGAUCUAGCAUGAAAUGUAUCGCCUCAACCAACUUGGUAAGUGAGAACUCAUCAACAGGUAUGGGUGGAGGACCUACUCCUCUCGCAUGCACCCGCUCACCCCAGAAGGGUUGGUCACCAAAGAAAGGCACAAUGGUUGUAGGGCACUGCAUUCACGAAAGAAGAAGGAUAAAGAAAAAAGACAGAAAGGACAGGAUACAGAAAUCUACAAUACAAACAAGCCGCAGCUAUUACCGCAGCUUUAAGACCAGCAGCUGUUGUUCCAGCACCUCCAUGAUGAACCUACAGCAAAGUGCAAGCUAACAACAAUGGGACAGCAAGAUUGAAAAAGGAAACACAAAAAUUGAAGAACCCAAUCAACAUCAUCAUCAACUACUCAAACUUUUCACCUCCCAACUCUUUCGCAUUUUAUAGAUUUUGAUGAGUGACAGUUGUUUCUCAAGUAUUAUAUCCAACUGACAAAGCUGAAAAAUUAAGCCUUA